This is a long non-coding RNA of Capsicum annuum, 1255 nucleotides long. RefSeq lists it as uncharacterized. The record is from RefSeq and is a predicted model, not a curated record. The transcript has 3 exons. NCBI's taxonomy places the organism in Eukaryota, Viridiplantae, Streptophyta, Magnoliopsida, Solanales, Solanaceae.
CAUAAUUUAUUUAUUUUUUGUGAAAAGGUCGAAAAAAAAAAAGAAGAAAGAAAGAAAGUUAUUCCCAAAACUACAAUCAUAAACAUAUUGAAAAAGUACGUAAACUUCACCCAAAUUUGAUUUGCCAUGUUUUGAACCCAAAAAAUCGAGCGGUUGUAUACACGCUCUAUACUAUAAAGUCUCUCACGAGUAUUCGGCCCUUUUUUGAACCAGCAUUUUUCACCCCUUUUUCAUGAAAUUCACCAUUUUCUUGGCGAAUUUGGUGUAGGAAAUUGGUAGAGCAGAGUGCAACAUUUGCCAGGAGGAUGAUUCUUUGAGAAGUUGGAGAGUCCGUGUGCUUGCAGCGAAAUUCUCAAGACAAGGGUGCAAGAACGCAAGAACGCAAGAACAAGAAGGUCAUCCUAUAUAGGGCUCAUACGCACAGCUCUUACCGAACCCUCAAUCAGGAGUGUGGAGAAACCCUAGUGGAGGUGGGCAUGAUGACAAAGCUCAUCCUGCUAUUCAUCAAACUAAAUUUUCUGCAGGGAAAUCCAGAUGGAGCCAGGAUCACGACGUUAGUACUGGUUCUGACACUAUUCUUAGUUGGUAGCAACUCAUAUAGGAGGAGUUGCAAUAAGCCCUUGUGACCUAUGUUGAACCCCUUUUCUACUACUGAAAUUUGUUCUUAGCAGAGAGUGUAUGAGUUGGUUGUUCGCCAUUUCUGGGCCUGUGUUUCUCAACCUGCUGUUGGGGCGUUGAGAUUGAUAUUGCUGGUGAAUCUUUUUCUGCAUGUUGGAGAGUGAUACUUGAAGGAGAUAUUACUGGUGAGAUUUGCCAUCAGGUACGUGUCACUCCCCCAGCUGGUUUCCAUAUUCUUUUGUAGUAUAAGAUGGCUGAAAGACACUCCCAUUUUUUUUUUCCAUUUAUGAAGAACUGAACUGGUAGGGGUCAAGUCAAUCACACCUAGGUUUAUUAGUAGUAUAUACUUCAUUCAAUUUACUUUGGUUGCUAUUAUGUUAUUAUAACCUUAAAUAGGGAAGAAGUGUCAAAAUUAUUAGACUUUAAUUGGGCAAGCUGUGUAACAUUAAAAAGUGUAAAAUGAUCAAGAAAAAGAUGCAUAAGCAUAUAGGGAACAUGAAACAUGUUAAAAAAACAAAGGAAAAAUGACUUACAACACAAAAAUUAUAAGAUAAUUCAAAUAAAUACUUCCAAACAGAAGAUAUUGGGUCCAGGCAGGGGGCGGGCCUAGGCUCGGCCGUGGUCUCGGGUCUGUACC